UACGUAGGGGGCAAGCGUUGUCCGGAAUUAUUGGGCGUAAAGAGCGCGCAGGCGGCUUUGUAAGUCUACCGUGAAAGCUUACGGCUCAACCGUAACGGGUCGGUGGAUACUGCAAAGCUUGAGGGCAGGAGAGGAAAGUGGAAUUCCCAGUGUAGCGGUGAAAUGCGUAGAUAUUGGGAGGAACACCAGUGGCGAAGGCGACUUUCUGGACUGUUACUGACGCUGAGGCGCGAAAGCUGGGGGAGUGAACGGG
This 253-nucleotide ribosomal RNA is filed under the name uncultured prokaryote. RNAcentral's name for it is "partial 16S ribosomal RNA". It matches the Rfam family "Bacterial small subunit ribosomal RNA", at positions 524 to 776 of the family's 1533-position model. The record is from RNAcentral.